RNAcentral lists this small RNA (176 nucleotides) under Gopherus agassizii (Agassiz's desert tortoise). Its description in RNAcentral is "TUC338 (ENSGAGG00000013497.1)". Lineage: Eukaryota; Metazoa; Chordata; Testudines; Testudinidae. The record is from RNAcentral.
UUGAAUAGUUGGAAACUGAAGAUUUAUCCACCAAAGAGACAGAGUAAAAGUAACAGCUGUGAAAGGAUUCCAAACAGAAUACCCCUAACCAAAGUGCCUCAAACCUAUAUCAAAGUGACCACCUCUAAGAGUGAGAAGGUAGAUCAAUUUACAUGCCCAUUCAAUCCUCGGUCUGU